This 72-nucleotide transfer RNA is filed under the name Closterium baillyanum. RNAcentral describes it as "tRNA-Lys". It matches the Rfam family "tRNA". Rfam says of the family: Transfer RNA (tRNA) molecules are approximately 80 nucleotides in length. The record is from RNAcentral. Lineage: Eukaryota; Viridiplantae; Streptophyta; Zygnematophyceae; Desmidiales; Closteriaceae.
GCCUCAGUAGCUCAGUGGUAGAGCUGUCGACUCUUAAUCGAUUGGUCGUAGGUUCGAGACCUACCUGGGGCA